Long non-coding RNA from Bos taurus (domestic cattle), 2657 nucleotides. The record is from Ensembl. Lineage: Eukaryota; Metazoa; Chordata; Mammalia; Artiodactyla; Bovidae.
AGAACAGUCCCCACAUUCCUGGCUGGAGAUCGCUGGGAACAGUCAGGUUUGCGGGAGGAGAGAGACGGCUGCUCUGGACGCGUUAAGCCGGAGGAGGACACAGAAUCAGAGAAUCUGUGGGUGCCUGGGGGCCUGAACAGGCACAGGGGUGGGGCGGGAGGCUCUGGACAUCCCUGGGGUGGUUCAGAAAAACCCCGCCACCUUGUCAGCUGAAGGGUCCACAUUCGUCUGGGACCUGGGCCCCAUGUAUUUUCAAUCUCACGCCUUCCAUGCUGGGACAAGGACUUGCGCCAAAGAUCAGUUUCACAAUUACUACGAAGACAUUUCACAACAGACAACGGAGAAAGCAAACUCACAAGACGUCCUGGAAGACCUACGGCCAAUCUGAGAUCAAAUACAAUCUGGCCUUGGGAGCCAGGCCCGGGGGACAAGGUCCAGCCACUCCCGCCACUCCCUCCCACCACUCCUGGAUCUGUCCGGGGAGCGUCUGCGGGGUCACUGCUCUCUCCAGCAAGGGCCCUGAAGUCAGGGCAAGACACAGAUGCCAUCAGCGAGGGGCUGGUGGGGCCUCUGUCUCCUGCCCAGUCAGCUCAGUCCUCUUGUUUACUAGCAAACCCGCACCGCACACGCCAAUUCAUCGUCCUGAAUAAUUGAUCCAGCACGUUUGAAUAAUUCAGGCUCAGCUGGGACCCACGGUGGAGAAAUCCUAUAGUCCUUUGGCUUUCUCUCCCCAUGUGACAAAGCUGGGACAGACCAGGAACCACCCCCCAGGGAGCCAGCCUCUUAACCGUCUCUGGCUCAGGAAAGCCCUGCAGACCCUGGGGCUGCCCGAAUGUGGGCAGCCAUGAAGAUUUCGGCCCACACACAUCAGCCUCCAAAGCCCAGAAGCUUUCCUUCAACUAGCGGCAGGAGGAAAGGAGGACUUCAGGGGUCGUGACCACAGCUUCCAGCUUUAUGUAAACACACAUCUUAGUGUCCUAGAAAUGACCCAGAACUGUGAGCUGCGGGCGAAGCAAAGUGAGGGCCCCCCCAGCUUGCUUGCCCUCGUCUCGUGGGCCCAGGGCAGAGCCUGGCACCCCAUCUCGGCUUUGCUAAGACCAGCUGGGGACUGUGCUCAACACUACCUCAGGGAAGAUUCUGGUACUGCCCUGACAGGGACCCUGUCCUCACCCCGCCCACAGCUGAGCCCUGGAAUCUGACCAUCAGAGCCCCUUCCCUGGGGUCUGGAUUUUGGUCCCUGGUCACACUUCUGGUCCCCAGGGAAGGGAUGCUCUUUACACUGUGAUGAGGGUUCUGUACCUCAGGGUAAGGAAGCAACCAGAUGGCAGUUUCCACCAGGGGAAGAGUGAUGGGAGGGUUUGAUGGGAGAGCGACUCUGCCCAUGAGAAUGCUCGGGGGGUCGGGGUCACCCAGCAGCUGCGCCUCCAGAGUGACGGCACAGCCCACAGUCACCUUCGAGCCUGCGGUUCUGCCUGACACCGAAGACUGUGCUUCUCUGGGUUUGAAUAUGAUGAACCAAGCGGAUUAAAUCAGAGCAAAGUGCCCGUCACCCUUUUCUCACUGUAUUUCUCUCUGUGCUGCUCCUCGGGCGUCUUUCUCAUACAUACUGGGUGCUUCCGUCUGAGUCAUCCAUGAGAGCAUAAGAAAUGCCCACGGUCAGGCCCGUGAUCUGCCCAGCUUCACCAGCGCAGAGCCUGGCAAUACCCUGCAUCUGCUGGACGCUUCCCUCUGAAACCGGCUGGGAACACCCCCUCGGCAAAGUCUACUAUGAAUUGCUCCUAACAUGGGUGUCCAGUAACAGAACCCAUCACCUACUGGCCACAGCUUGUUCUCCAGACACUGCUAAGCAUUCCCAUGCUUUCUUUCACUGGAUCCUGGUAACAGACUGGGAAGAACCUCUGAUCACCCCACUUUCCAGGUUCAACUCACCGGUGGACUUCCCCACUCGCAGGGGCGUGUGGGCCAGCGAGCAGACUUCCCACGUCCACCCAAGCCCUCGGGCAUCACUGCUCUAAGCUGAUCGUCCAGAGCCCGAAACUCCUGGUUCUUUCACUUGGUCGACUCUCGUUACUUCUGCUUUUUGCAACACCUCUAAAUUGGGGUGCUUCACGUAGAAAGUCAGAUUUCCAGCUUCUGCUGAAGGGCCGGGUGGACUGGCUGCUCUGUGCCCCCAGCACCCACGUGACCACCAGCUGCCACACAGGGCACGAGCCCAAGUCCCCACCACCCACAGCGGCGUCCUCACCAGGAGUCUGCACCGGCCCCGUUUACUGCCGCGCUUGAAAAUACCGAUGUGUACGCCUGCUCCUUCCAAAUGUGGGCACGCCACAAAUGGGCCUGGAAGAUCGUGUUUUCCAGGAAAAAAAAAAGGAAGUCAGAGAACGCUCUGAUGUAUUUUAUAGGAAAACAUGCAAAAAUCUGACCCUUACCUUAGAGGCCUCGGUGCACGCUGACCAGAAAACGGUGGAGCGCUCUGUGUGAAAGCUGUGGCGGGCCUGGGAAGCCGAGCUGGCCCUGAGGGGUGACACGGUCCCCAUGAGCUGAGGAGAAAAGGGAGCUGCCGCCACUGUGACCCCACAGCUGGGGAGAAGCCCCCCAUGGAACGUGGAUAACGAGGAAGAUACCCAGGCACCAGCGAUUGGAACUUGGACGCUGAU